RNAcentral lists this ribosomal RNA (253 nucleotides) under uncultured bacterium. Its description in RNAcentral is "partial 16S ribosomal RNA". It matches the Rfam family "Bacterial small subunit ribosomal RNA", at positions 524 to 776 of the family's 1533-position model. The record is from RNAcentral.
UACGUAGGCAGCGAGCGUUGUUCGGAGUUACUGGGCGUAAAGGGUGUGUAGGCGGUUGUUUAAGUUUGGUGUGAAAUCUCCCGGCUCAACUGGGAGGGUGCGCCGAAUACUGAAUGACUAGAGUGCGGGAGAGGAAAGUGGAAUUCCUGGUGUAGCGGUGAAAUGCGUAGAUAUCAGGAGGAACACCGGUGGUGUAGACGGCUUUCUGGACCGUAACUGACGCUGAGGAGCGAAAGCGUGGGGAGCGAACAGG